This 775-nucleotide non-coding RNA is filed under the name Stridulivelia tersa. The record is from RNAcentral. Lineage: Eukaryota; Metazoa; Arthropoda; Insecta; Hemiptera; Veliidae.
CCAUUAGGUUAUUUUUUUGAAAAAAGUUUGAUUCUUGCUUUGAAAUUUGAAUUAUUAAUUAUUUAAUAUGUAAGAUUUUUCUUUGUUUUAUCUAAAAGGUUUUUGUUUCAGUAUUUAAUUUUGGUUAUUUUUUGUAAGAAAAAACUAGGAUUUAAUUUUUUAAUUGACAAAAGUUGUGCCAGCCGUCGCGGUUAUACAAUUAAUUAAAUUAAAUUUUUUUAAGUUUAUAUUAAUUUGUUUUUUAAUAAUUGAAAUUGUUAUUUUUAAGGUGAAAUUUUAAUUUUAUAUUUAAUUAUUGGUUUGAGAUUAUAUAUGAAAAUUAUACAUAAACUAGGAUUAGAUACCCUAUUAUUAUAAUCGUUAAUUUUUCUUUAAUAUUAAUAGUUAUGUUCUUUAAAUUAAAAGAAUUUGGCGGUAAUUUAAUCUUUCUAGAGGAACCUGUUCUGUAAUUGAUAAUCCACGAUUGAUUUAAUUUUAAUUAAGCUUAUAUAUCGUUGUCAUUGAAUGUUUUAUGAGAAUUUAUUUUCUUUAAUUUUUAUGAGUAUAAUGUCAGAUCAAGAUGUAGCAAUAUUAAAAUAGAAAUGGGUUACAUUAAAUUUAUUUUUGGAUUAAUAUUUGUAAUUUAUUAUUAUGAAAUUGGAUUUAGGUGUAAUUUUUAUUAAAUAAUAAUUUUGAUUUUAGUUCUAAAUUAUGUACACAUCGCCCGUCACUCCCAUUAUAAGUUGGGAUAAGUCGUAACAAAGUAGGCCUACUGGAAAGUGGGCCUGGAAAGUUC